RNAcentral lists this ribosomal RNA (493 nucleotides) under uncultured bacterium. Its description in RNAcentral is "partial 16S ribosomal RNA". It matches the Rfam family "Bacterial small subunit ribosomal RNA", at positions 30 to 523 of the family's 1533-position model. The record is from RNAcentral.
AUUGAACGCUGGCGGCAUGCCUUACACAUGCAAGUCGAACGGUAACAGGUUAAGCUGACGAGUGGCGAACGGGUGAGUAAUAUAUCGGAACGUGCCCAGUCGUGGGGGAUAACGUAGCGAAAGCUACGCUAAUACCGCAUACGAUCUACGGAUGAAAGCGGGGGAUCGCAAGACCUCGCGCGAUUGGAGCGGCCGAUAUCAGAUUAGCUAGUUGGGGAGGUAAAGGCUCACCAAGGCGACGAUCUGUAGCUGGUGUGAGAGGACGACCAGCCACACUGGAAAGGAGACACGGUCCAGCCUCCUACGGGAGGAAGCAGUGGGGAAUUUUGGACAAUGGGCGCAAGCCUGAUCCAGCAAUGCCGCGUGCAGGACGAAGGCCUUCGGGUUGUAAACUGCUCUUGUACGGAGCGAAACGGUCUUCUCUAAUACAGGGGGCUAAUGACGGUACCGUAAGAAUAAGCACCGGCUAACUACGUGCCAGCAGCCGCCGUAA